GAUGAAGAACGUAGCGAAAUGCGAUAAGUAAUGCGAAUUGCAGAUUUCAGUGAAUCAUCGAAUCUUUGAACGCACAUUGCGCCCGCCAGUAUUCUGGCGGGCAUGCCUGUUCGAGCGUCAUUACAACCCUCAGGCCCCCGGGCCUGGCGUUGGGGAUCGGCAGAAGCCCCCUGUGGGCACACGCCGUCCCUCAAAUACAGUGGCGGUCCCGCCGCAGCUUCCAUUGCGUAGUAGCUAACACCUCGCAACUGGAGAGCGGCGCGGCCAUGCCGUAAAACACCCAACUUCUGAAUGUUGACCUCGAAUCAGGUAGGAAUACCCGCUGAACUUAAGCAUAUCAAUAAGCGGAGGA
Molecule: unclassified non-coding RNA, 352 nt
Filed under: soil metagenome
Description: partial contains 5.8S ribosomal RNA, internal transcribed spacer 2, and large subunit ribosomal RNA
Rfam family: 5.8S ribosomal RNA (bases 1-120)
Source: RNAcentral